This is a long non-coding RNA of Anolis carolinensis (green anole), 1645 nucleotides long. RefSeq lists it as uncharacterized. The record is from RefSeq and is a predicted model, not a curated record. Lineage: Eukaryota; Metazoa; Chordata; Lepidosauria; Squamata; Anolidae. The transcript is spliced from 2 exons.
UCUAUUAUGGACGAUACAUUGAUGACAUCUUCUCAAUUUUCCGGUCUGAUACUGCAGCAUCACAUUUUAGAACAUGGAUUAAUACCAUACAUGACCACAUUAAAUUUACAGAUACAUGUGACCGUAAUAAGAUCAAUUUUUUAGAUGUGUGUGUAUUCAGGAAAUCAAAUAGACUUUACGUCAAAAACUACACCAAACCUACUGAUAGAAACUCCUUAUUACACUUUAACAGUUUCCACCAUCACUCUUUGAAAUCUAACUUACCAUACAAUCAACUAUUAAGAUUAAAACGCAACACCAGCCUACAGGAAGACUUCGAAUCUAUCAUAGACCCCUUCAAACAGGCACUGAAGAUGAGGGGAUACCCUGAAAGAAUUGUAGACUCAGCAGUCAAAAGAGCUCAAAGGGUCAAUAGAAGUGUCCUACUACAAGAACAAACUAAGCCUAGUAAGGAUCGUAUCAUCUGGCCACUUACACUCACACCACUAUCAUCCAAAAUUAAGAAUAUCGUCAAUAGACAUUGGCAUCUAAUACACGAGAUCCACGGCUGUGAAAAACCACCUAUGGUAGCCCACAAAAGAUCUAGAAAUUUCAGAAACUUUCUAGUACAUGCAGAUCUCAUUACUCCCACUACUACAGUAAGCCUAAACAAAAAAGGACAUUAUCCAUGUGGCCAUUGUAACUGUUGUAAGCAAUCCCUAAGAAUUCAAGAUGAUAUAUACCCCAUACUCCAUCUUCACAUCACAUUAAGACACUUUACUACAUGUGCAUCUGAAAAUGUCAUAUAUUUGAUUAUAUGUCCAUGUAAAUUGUUAUAUGUAGGGAUGACCUCUAGGGCAUUGAGAACAAGGAUACAAGAACACAAAUCCAGAAUCAGGAAUGGAUGCACAGACUCUACUCUAUACACACAUUUUCAAGAAAAAGCUCAUUCUGAUGAGAGUUUUAAGUUCUUUGUGAUAGAGAAGGUAAAACCCAUUGGAGACAAUAAAAGACUUCUUCUACAAAGGGAGUCUUUCUGGACCUUUAAAUUAAACUCUGUAUUCCCCAAAGGACUGAAUGAUAGGAUUGAUUUCACCUGUUAUCUUUAGUGAAUUGAGUAUUUCAGUUCACCAUGCAAGCCAUAGGGCACUUGCAACUUGAGAAAAAAACACAGAGCCCUGCAAGAGUAACGACGUAAAUUGACUACAUUGAAAAGCCUUGAACUGAAGCAGGACCAAGCAAGUAAUUAAGAUUAAAGAGACAGCAAUAAAUCCACAACAUACCGCAGAAGAUUCUGAGAAUCUCAGUAAGAAGAAAAAUACCAUACAUCAAAAGACUAUUUAAGACCUUACAUAAAUAACAACAACCUGAAGAAGGACUUCCCGAAACGAGGCAGUGUACCCGGGAUUACUUGUUGUUGCAUAGUUUUGUUCUACAUACACACAACAGCUGUGGACUGUUUUCCGUUGAGUUUGAUGUAUGCUUUACUUUAUAUGUUACUCAAUAAGGUUGUAUAAUUGUAUAUAUACCAUAAUUGUGGACUGUUUUCAGUUGGAGGUUUAUGUGUGUUUUGCUUUAUAUGUUUCACAAUAAGUUAGUACCCGGUUGGGACUGUAAAGAAAAUACUCUAUAUACUAGCAUACCACAAUACACACGCUAAAACCUA